RNAcentral lists this ribosomal RNA (468 nucleotides) under uncultured bacterium. Its description in RNAcentral is "partial 16S ribosomal RNA". It matches the Rfam family "Bacterial small subunit ribosomal RNA", at positions 28 to 507 of the family's 1533-position model. The record is from RNAcentral.
GACGAACGCUGGCGGCGUGCUUAACACAUGCAAGUCGAACGGAAAGGCCCUGCUUUUGUGGGUUGCUCGAGUGGCGAACGAGUGUGUUACCCGUGAGUAACCUGCCCUUGACUUUGGGAUAACUUCAGGAAACUGGAGCUUAUACCGGAUAGGAGCUCCUGCUGCAUGGUGGUGGUUGGCACGUUUCGGCGGUUGGGGAUGGACUCGCGGCUUAUCAGCUUGUUGGUGGGGUAGUGGCUUACCAAGGCUUUGACGGGUAGCCGGCCUGAGAGGGUGACCGGCCACAUUGGGACUGAGAUACGGCCCAGACUCCUACGGGAGGCAGCAGUGGGGAAUAUUGCACAAUGGGCGGAAGCCUGAUGCAGCAACGCCGCGUGCGGGAUGACGGCCUUCGGGUUGUAAACCGCUUUCGCCUGUGACGAAGCGUGAGUGACGGUAAUGGGUAAAGAAGCACCGGCUAACUACGUG